GCCUCCUUCCUCUUCUUCAUCUCCAUUCCCAAUCGAUUGCAGUGACGGUUUCUCUAAGGGUAUUGAGCCCCUGGCCCAUCCUUCCAAGCAAUCCCUUCCUGCAAAUGUUCUCAAGUGGAGUCCCAAUUCAAGUUUUCCAACUGUAUGUAUUGGUAGAUGCGGACUUAAAAACAUAUAUCUGUGAAGGCAAUAAAGUUGCUUCCCUUGUUCUUGAUCCUUCACUUUGAAUUCAACAAAAAUAUGCAGAGUUCUAGUAAGAAGCUAAAAAAACAUGAAGUUGCAGUGAGCUUGAUAAUAAUCAUCUUUCCAAGACGUUGAUUAUAAAGGGUACUGAUAAGAAGAAAAAUCAACAUAUGUAAGAUGAUGUAGCCCUCUUAGAAACACAACAAAGGAUUUCCAAAGGAAGAUAGCAUUCCCAUAAAUAACUUGCCAGCUUUUUUUUUUUUUUCUGAGUUGGUGUUCUUAGAAAUUUGAAAUAGCAGAGGAAAGAGUAGUGAAUGCAGAGAAGGCUUUUGUGGGCUUUGUCUAUGUGGGAUGUGGGUAGAGUAAGCAGUAACAGUGGUGAAUUGGCGGACAGGGACUUUGAUCCAACCAUUGGCAAAGGUAAUGUCUAAGAUGACAAAAGGGGUAGACAUGCCAAAUAUGAUGAUAUAAGGAAGAGGUGUCUUCAUUGGAUUCUCUCCUUCCCUUUCUCGUGCUGUCUGCCAAUACCUGCAUUUUAUCAAACACUCCCAGUUCAGGAAGAGGGAAAAGCAAAGAUGUAACAGAGUAGAGAAAAAAUUUAACGGAUGUGGUGGUGGAAGGUGAGAUGGAGAUGGAAAUGGAAAUGGGUUCACUUGAUGUGUUUGGUAUGCGUUCUUGGAAUGCAUUCUAGGCCUGGAAUGCAUUCUGGGAUGUGUUUAGUAGUGUUUGGUUUGCAUUCUCGUUCAUGAGAACUACAAUGCCAUGGAAAACAAGGGUUGUUUUAGAACGGGCAAAUUUGUCCAUUCCACGUUCUGAAAAAUAAGUGAUCAAACUCGUUCUCAAGGCUCAUGAUAAACUCGACUUUCAUCCUUGACCUAGAGAGCGAAGAAGCAUUGAGAGGAAACCUGCGAGGGAAGCUUCAUGGAGAAGAACCUGUGAGCUGAGGGGGCUUCAGCAAUCAACGAUCGUUGUCGAUUUCUCCUCAAACCCUACGGUUAAAGUGACUACAAGUAAGAUAAGAAUGAUGGAUACACAAGAGAAAUCAUCCAAUCUGUCAAGGGGGAAAGAAAUUGCUAUGAAUGAGAAUGCUAGUAAAAAAAGAAAGAUGGAGAUUGGGAAGGAAAUCGUCAAAGGGCCAGCAAAUUGGACAGAUGAUUACAAAAAACAUUUUAUUGACAUCUUAUUGAUCAAGUACGUAAAGGGGCUAGAAUAAACACUAGUUUUAGUAGGGAUGCUUGGCAUAUCAUUUUAAAGCAGUUUAAUGAGUCAAAGCAAGCCAAUUAUGAUAUGCAAACAAUUAAGAAUUGUUAUAGGGCCUUGAGAAGUGCAUGGAUUACAUGGAAAGUAUUAUUGGAAAAUAACAUCGGA
Molecule: long non-coding RNA, 1551 nt
Organism: Macadamia integrifolia
Lineage: Eukaryota; Viridiplantae; Streptophyta; Magnoliopsida; Proteales; Proteaceae
Exons: 2
Source: RefSeq, a predicted model, not a curated record